ACCUGCCCCAGGUGAAGUAAGUUAGUAAACAGCAGUUCCUAGAUUUGAGCGGGGCCCUCAGGGUUUUGAAUGCAGACAUGUAAUUGCAACAUGAUUCGGCUGAUCAUGUAGCCAGGGUGUGGGGUUUAUAAAAUAGACGUGAAUAAAAAAAAGGGGCAGGAUGACAGUGAAGCUUGCUCAUGGGUUUUGUGGAGGGCGUAGAUUGGAACCAAAAAGCACGCCUCGGCUUGGUGCUCCCUGUCGCCCUCUGUUGACAUGGGGAGAGAAGAGCGGGUCUGACUCGGAAAUGACGCCAUAAUGCUGAGGAACCACUCCUGGCGUUGCGGAAGGUGGGGUGUGGGGCCGGAAGACCCUCCCCCCGCGUCUUCAGAGGAGCGCUGUUUCUGGAGGAGUUAGGGGAAGGAGGCUGCCUGGUAAGCCAGGAAAGGGGCUUCUGGCCGUUCUGUUGGAGCGCCUCUGACUGACUUCCCCCAUGUGUCCGUGUGGCCACACCGUGCUACUUUCAGAGGCAGUGGGCUUUUCGCUAAGGGAUAAAAAGAAGUAAAACCUUGCCUUUAGCGCAGCUCUCCUUCACUGGGCAGAUUGCUCUCCCUCCCCACUCUCCCAGGCCCAAAUUGGAUCUCAGCGCCUGGGAGCUCCAACUUUAGCAAGUGCGAAAUCCUGUCUUCGGUUUUGGAAUUUUCAUCCGCACAGACUAUAUCAGCCACGGAUAGGAUAUGUGAGAAUACCAGCAUGUCAAGGCUGGGAAUCAUCCUUAGGCAUCACCUAGCCAGUCCUGCCUCUCAUUUUAAGGUGAUCACAGGAUCUGGUUUGCCACUGAAAGGAAUCUUGAUGCUGACCACUUCACCUCGGAGAGCAUGAACUGCUCCCAUGCCUUCAAGAGUUUUAGUGGGUAACCAGGAUGGAACUGCGGUGUUGCUUGCAGGAGAAGCUUACUACUGGUUUCUACUUCUCCAACCUCAUUGGUGGCUAUGCAGGCACUGUCUCCAGACUGUCUAUAUUCAACCCAGUAUCCAAGAAUUUCUUUACCACCAUCACAUUCAGGUUUCUCCCACUGUAGAGUGACACUAUCUUUGGAUAUUGAAAGAAUCUCAAGUUCUCCUGGUUGGCUUGGUUUAUCUGAAAUAUUUUAAAAUAAUGAAAAGGGAGUCAGCUUUACUGGUGAAAUAAAAGGACCAAACAUGGCUUGCUUCUUUAAUUUAACCCCUUCUUCUGAAUUCCUUACCAAAUGGAUCUUUGCAAACAACUGGUUCAGAAGCAGGGCUGGUCUCACUCAGGCCAACAUCAUUCUGUGCGAUGAUGCGGAACUGAUACUCAGCAUCGGGAACAAGCCCUGUGACAGUGUACAUUGUGGUGGUGAUCUGAGUCUUGUUGUGUCUGACCCACUUGUCAGUGGAUGUCUCUUUGCGUUCGAUGUAGUAGCCUGUGACUCUAGAACCACCAUCAUCUUUGGGCCGGGACCAGGACAAGCUAACAGAACUCUUGGUUACAUCGAGUACUUCUGGAGGAUUGCUUGGAGGUUCUGGAGGAUCUGUAAAUAUAAGUGGAAAGCACACAUGUAUUAGAAUACAGUCCCAAGUAUUAUAAGCCAAUGACUUUCAUUUAAAAACAGAAAAGUGCUGAAAUAAUGUUUAUAAUUUUGUGGUUGAAAGGGCACUUACUCAAUGGUGUUUUUGGUGUGACUGGUUCCUCAGAUUUCAAGGGUUUGCUUAUGCCAAACUGGUUUUCUGCUGAAACACGGAAAUGGUAUUCUACAUUCUCUUUGAGGCCUUUUACCACCAGAGAUGUACCUCGGACUCUGGAAUCAAUGGUAUACCAGGCGGCUUUAGGCACUUCUCGUCUCUCGAGGAUGUAGCCUAAGAUGUCAGCACCACCAUCAUCAGCAGGAGGUCUCCAGCUGACCCUCACAGAGCGGACUUGGAUGUCAUCAUAUUCCAGUGGCCCUUCUGGACUGUUGGGACUUCCUAUCACCCUGACCUUGAUGUAGACAGCCUUCUUGCCACAUUUAUUUUCCAGAACCAGGUCAUAAGUGCCAGAAUCACCCCUGUCUGCUUCUUUGAUCACAAGCUCAGUGUGUGUUUCAGAUGUUGCAAUCAUGGCACGCUUACUAAUAUCCUGGCCUUCCUUGGUCCAUUUACAUAUUGGGAAUGGUUUUCCUUUGAUUGGUAUGCAGGCUCACCAGGUCCACCAGCAUUACAAGCUAGGACGCGGAACCUGUAUUCUGCACCCUGAGAAUCAGAGGUGGGGAGAGUGGUGGAAGGGCCUGUGGACUUACGGAUGCUGCUGCGACACUCUAUGACCUCAGACUGCAAGUAAGAGCCAAUCCCGAAGCGGUUUGUUGCAGCCACACGGAACACAUACUCAUUUCCUUCGAACCAGCAAAGAACCAGGAAGCAGCAGGAGGUGGACGGCCAGCAAUAGGUAUCACCAG
RNAcentral lists this long non-coding RNA (2431 nucleotides) under Homo sapiens (human). Its description in RNAcentral is "HSALNT0307550". The record is from RNAcentral. Lineage: Eukaryota; Metazoa; Chordata; Mammalia; Primates; Hominidae.